RNAcentral lists this ribosomal RNA (253 nucleotides) under uncultured bacterium. Its description in RNAcentral is "partial 16S ribosomal RNA". It matches the Rfam family "Bacterial small subunit ribosomal RNA", at positions 524 to 776 of the family's 1533-position model. The record is from RNAcentral.
UACGGAGGGGGCGAGCGUUAUUCGGAAUUACUGGGCGUAAAGGGCUCGUAGGCGGCCAACUAAGUCGGACGUGAAAUCCCUCAGCUUAACUGGGGAACUGCGUCCGAUACUGGAUGGCUUGGAUUCGGGAGAGGGAUGCGGAAUUCCAGGUGUAGCGGUGAAAUGCGUAGAUAUCUGGAGGAACACCGGUGGCGAAGGCGGCAUCCUGGACCGAUAUUGACGCUGAGGAGCGAAAGCCAGGGGAGCAAACGGG